RNAcentral lists this ribosomal RNA (493 nucleotides) under uncultured bacterium. RNAcentral describes it as "bacterial SSU rRNA". It matches the Rfam family "Bacterial small subunit ribosomal RNA", at positions 28 to 507 of the family's 1533-position model. The record is from RNAcentral.
GAUGAACGCUAGCUACAGGCUUAACACAUGCAAGUCGAGGGGAAACGAUAUUGGAAGCUUGCUUCCGAUAGGCGUCGACCGGCGCACGGGUGAGUAACGCGUAUCCAACCUGCCCAUCACUUGGGAAUAACCUUGCGAAAGUAAGACUAAUGCCCAAUGACAUUUAUAGAAGGCAUCUGAAAUGAAUUAAAGAUUUAUCGGUGAUGGAUGGGGAUGCGUCUGAUUAGCUUGUUGGCGGGGUAACGGCCCACCAAGGCGACGAUCAGUAGGGGUUCUGAGAGGAAGGUCCCCCACAUUGGUACUGAGACACGGACCAGACUCCUACGGGAGGCAGCAGUGAGGAAUAUUGGUCAAUGGGCGCAGGCCUGAACCAGCCAAGUCGCGUGAGGGAAGACGGUCCUACGGAUUGUAAACCUCUUUUGUCGGGGAGUAACGUGCGGGACGCGUCCCGUAUUGAGAGUACCCGAAGAAAAAGCAAUCGGCUAACUCCGUG